GAACGGACGAGAAGCUUGCUUCUCUGAUGUUAGCGGCGGACGGGUGAGUAACACGUGGAUAACCUACCUAUAAGACUGGGAUAACUUCGGGAAACCGGAGCUAAUACCGGAUAAUAUUUUGAACCGCAUGGUUCAAAAGUGAAAGACGGUCUUGCUGUCACUUAUAGAUGGAUCCGCGCUGCAUUAGCUAGUUGGUAAGGUAACGGCUUACCAAGGCAACGAUGCAUAGCCGACCUGAGAGGGUGAUCGGCCACACUGGAACUGAGACACGGUCCAGACUCCUACGGGAGGCAGCAGUAGGGAAUCUUCCGCAAUGGGCGAAAGCCUGACGGAGCAACGCCGCGUGAGUGAUGAAGGUCUUCGGAUCGUAAAACUCUGUUAUUAGGGAAGAACAUAUGUGUAAGUAACUGUGCACAUCUUGACGGUACCUAAUCAGAAAGCCACGGCUAACUACGUGCCAGCAGCCGCGGUAAUACGUAGGUGGCAAGCGUUAUCCGGAAUUAUUGGGCGUAAAGCGCGCGUAGGCGGUUUUUUAAGUCUGAUGUGAAAGCCCACGGCUCAACCGUGGAGGGUCAUUGGAAACUGGAAAACUUGAGUGCAGAAGAGGAAAGUGGAAUUCCAUGUGUAGCGGUGAAAUGCGCAGAGAUAUGGACGCACACCAGUGGCGAA
This 669-nucleotide ribosomal RNA is filed under the name Xanthomonas citri pv. citri. RNAcentral's name for it is "bacterial SSU rRNA". It matches the Rfam family "Bacterial small subunit ribosomal RNA", at positions 64 to 719 of the family's 1533-position model. The record is from RNAcentral. Lineage: Bacteria; Pseudomonadati; Pseudomonadota; Gammaproteobacteria; Lysobacterales; Lysobacteraceae.